This 868-nucleotide ribosomal RNA is filed under the name Lecania cyrtella. Its description in RNAcentral is "SSU rRNA". It matches the Rfam family "Bacterial small subunit ribosomal RNA", at positions 367 to 1268 of the family's 1533-position model. The record is from RNAcentral. Lineage: Eukaryota; Fungi; Ascomycota; Lecanoromycetes; Lecanorales; Ramalinaceae.
GUCAAUAGUCUAACGACUGAACCAGGCACUUGGAAGAAUGAAUAGCGAAAGCUAAUUGUAUUAUUUUAUAGUGCGAUAUCAACUACGUUGAAUAAAAUUCUGGGUAAAAUUAUGAUGAUGACAUUGUUUACCCAUGUGUCUUGACCAAAUUACGUGCCAGCAGUCGCGGUAAUACGUAGAAGACUAGUGUUAUUCAUCUUUAAUAGGUUUAAAGGGUACCUAGACGGUAAACCAAGCUCUUGCCACGCAAGACAGGACUAGUUUACUAGAGUUACUUACAAGGAGGCUAUAAAGUACUAAUGGUGUAGAGAUGAAAUUUUGUGAUACCAUUUCUCGAAAGGGAAGUUAUGGCACUGAUAAAGGCGAAAGCAUCCUCUUAUGUGAUAACUGACGUUGAGGGACGAAGGCUUUGGAUCGCGAAUAGGAUUAGAUACCCUAGUAGUCAAAGCAGAAAAUGAUGAGUGUCAUAGAUUAGAAAAGUAAUUUUAUUCUAUAAAUGAAAGUGUAAGCACUCCACCUCAAGAGUAAUUUGGCAACAUUGGAACUGAAAUCAUUAGACCGUUUCUGAAACCAGUAGUGAAGUAUGUUGUUUAAUUUGAUAAUCCGCAAAACACCUUACCACAACUUGAAUAGAGAUAUCAUAUAUAUCUUUACAAGCGUUGCACGGCUGUCUACAGUUAAUGUCGUGAGACUUUGGUUAGAUCCAUUAAAUUAACGCAAGCCCUUACUUUAUUUUUAAAUAGAGUUGUUCCCCGCUAUAUUGGAUAUGAUAACAGGGACUAAGACAAGUCAUCAUGGCCUUAAUGUUGUGGGCUAUAGACGUGCCACAUAGACCUUUACAAAAGGAUGUGAAAUUGUGAAAUUAAAC